CUUGGUGACAAAAGCGGAGAGGACCCACCUGUUCCCAUACCGAACACAGCAGUUAAGCUCUCCAGCGGUGAUGGUACUGCCACAUCUCGUGGCGGGAGAGUAACUCGUUGCCGGGA
Molecule: ribosomal RNA, 116 nt
Filed under: Bacillota bacterium
Lineage: Bacteria; Bacillati; Bacillota
Source: RNAcentral